This 1377-nucleotide unclassified non-coding RNA is filed under the name uncultured fungus. RNAcentral's name for it is "sequence contains 18S rRNA gene, ITS1, 5.8S rRNA gene, ITS2, 28S rRNA gene". The stretch from base 385 to 1377 matches the Rfam family "Eukaryotic large subunit ribosomal RNA", at positions 1 to 961 of the family's 3401-position model. Lineage: Eukaryota; Fungi. The record is from RNAcentral.
GGAAGGAUCAUUAACAAGUCCAACAUAUGGCAGCUGCUUUACUGCGGCCUGCUAUAUAAGCCCCGUGCAGCAAUGCACGUGUGACACAUUUUAUCGUUUGACUGAAUUAUAUCACAUAACCAAGGAAAACUUUUAACAAUGGAUCUCUAGGCUCUUGCAUCGAUGAAGAACGCAGUGAAGUGCGAAAAGUAAUGCGAUUUGCAUGCUCUGUGAGUCAUCGAAUCUUUGAACGCAUAUGGCGCCUUGUGGGGCAACCCAGAAGGCAUGCCUGUUUGAGAAUCAUUUCAACCAUUUAUCUUGAGCUUUCAUCAGUGAUUGCUUGUAACUCAUCAUGUAAGCUGUGUAUAGGAGCAAUCCAGAAACAGCUUUAUUCUAUUUAACCUAUGAUCUCAAAUCAGGCAAGACUACCCGCUGAACUUAAGCAUAUCAGUAAGCGGAGGAGAAGAAACUAACAAGGAUUCCCCUAGUAACGGCGAGUGAAGCGGGAACAGCUCAAAUUUUAAAUCUGGGACCAUUGGUCUCCGAAUUGUAGUUUCAAGACGUGCAUCCUAGGCUGGAUGGGCAGGCGUACAAGUUUCCUGGAAUGGAGCAUCACAGAGGGUGAGAAUCCCGUCUGGACGUCGGUCCGCUGGUCGCAUGAUGUGCGUCAAAGAGUCGAGUUGUUUGGGAAUGCAGCUCAAAAUGGGUGGUAAAUUUCAUCUAAGGCUAAAUACUGGCAAGAGACCGAUAGCAAACAAGUACCGUGAGGGAAAGAUGAAAAGCACCUUGAAAAGGGAGUUAAAUAGUGCGUGAAAUUGUUAAAAGGGAAACGAUUGAAGCCAGUAUUGCCGCAAGGCGAGUUAACGCCGGUUCGAGUCGCUGGAUAAGCCCGACAGAAAGGUAGCGUAGCAAUACGUGUUAUAGUCUGACGCGGUGACAGCGGCUUGGACCGUACCCCAGCCACGUUGUACCCUCGGCGGCGCAGUGGGCAAAGCAAGGGUGGACUGCAUGCAGACCUCUUUUGUGCAGCCUAAUUACGUUGUCGAGCAGGCGUGGUGGUCGUUGACGAAAUGGCUUCAAACGACCCGUCUUGAAACACGGACCAAGGAGUCUAACGUAUAUGCAAGUAUUUGAGUGGCAAACUCGAAUGCGCAAUGAAAGUAAGCAGUGGGAGCCUUCCGCAAGGUUGGUGCACCGCUGGCCGAUCUUGAUAUCUUUUGAUAGAUUUGAGUCAGAGCAUAUCCGCUGGGACCCGAAAGAUGGUGAACUAUGCCUGAAUAGGGUGAAGCCAGAGGAAACUCUGGUGGAAGCUCGUAGCCGUUCUGACGUGCAAAUCGAUGGUCAAAUUUGGGUAUAGGGGCGAAAGACUAAUCGAACCAUCUAGUAGCUGGUUCCCUC